This 91-nucleotide small nucleolar RNA is filed under the name Cladophialophora carrionii. Its description in RNAcentral is "A. fumigatus snoRNA Afu_300". It matches the Rfam family "A. fumigatus snoRNA Afu_300". The record is from Rfam by way of RNAcentral. Lineage: Eukaryota; Fungi; Ascomycota; Eurotiomycetes; Chaetothyriales; Herpotrichiellaceae.
UAUUAUGAUGAUCAUUUCGAAACAAUAUACGCUGGAAAUUACCGGCAGAGACUCUCGAGUCGCAGAAGAUAUCAAAUGGCUAUACCUGAUU